This 349-nucleotide ribosomal RNA is filed under the name uncultured bacterium. RNAcentral's name for it is "bacterial SSU rRNA". It matches the Rfam family "Bacterial small subunit ribosomal RNA", at positions 917 to 1267 of the family's 1533-position model. The record is from RNAcentral.
GGGCCCGCACAAGCGGAGGAGCAUGUGGUUUAAUUCGAUGAUACGCGAGGAACCUUACCUGGGCUUAAAUGUCAUGCGACCAUUUCUGAAAAGAGAUUUCUCUUCGGAGCGAAUGGCAAGGUGCUGCAUGGCUGUCGUCAGCUCGUGCCGUGAGUGUUGGGUUAAGUCCCGCAACGAGCGCAACCCCUAUCUUUAGUUGCCAUCAGGUUAUGCUGGGGACUCUAGAGAAACUGCCUACGUAAGUAGUGAGGAAGGCGGGGACGACGUCAAGUCAUCAUGGCCCUUACGCCCAGGGCUACACACGUGCUACAAUGGUAAGUACAACGAGUCGCAAUACCGCGAGGUGGAG